ACACUCCUACGGGAGGCAGCAGUGAGGAAUAUUGGACAAUGGGUGGAAGCCUGAUCCAGCCAUCCCGCGUGCAGGAAGACGGCCCUAUGGGUUGUAAACUGCUUUUAUCUGGGGAUAAACCUACUUACGUGUAAGUAGCUGAAGGUACCAGAAGAAUAAGCACCGGCUAACUCCGUGCCAGCAGCCGCGGUAAUACGGAGGGUGCAAGCGUUAUCCGGAUUUAUUGGGUUUAAAGGGUCCGUAGGCGGACUGAUAAGUCAGUGGUGAAAUCCGACAGCUUAACUGUCGAACUGCCAUUGAUACUGUUAGUCUUGAGUAAGGUUGAAGUGGCUGGAAUAAGUAGUGUAGCGGUGAAAUGCAUAGAUAUUACUUAGAACACCAAUUGCGAAGGCAGGUCACUAAGUCUUAACUGACGCUGAUGGACGAAAGCGUGGGGAGCGAACAGGAUUAGAAACCCUGGUAGUCCC
Molecule: ribosomal RNA, 467 nt
Filed under: uncultured organism
Description: partial 16S ribosomal RNA
Rfam family: Bacterial small subunit ribosomal RNA
Source: RNAcentral